Eufriesea mexicana is the source of this 878-nucleotide long non-coding RNA. RefSeq lists it as uncharacterized. NCBI's taxonomy places the organism in Eukaryota, Metazoa, Arthropoda, Insecta, Hymenoptera, Apidae. The record is from RefSeq and is a predicted model, not a curated record. The transcript is spliced from 3 exons.
UACGGAUAAAGGAAUGGGAUGAGGUCUCGAAAACAAUAAUAAACAGAUAAGCUGUCUUUCAAUGACACGAUCGAUGAUAAUCUUGAUUACUAAUUUACGUCUGGAUAUAUACUUUUACGACACGCUCGAGAAACGUAAGCUGUGCUAAAAGGCUGUAUUAAUCGAGAGGAAAAAAGGAAGUGAUCGAACGUACAGUUACAACCUAACAUGACCAGAAAAGUGGUUCCAGAGGAAAAGUAGUUCCAAAUGCCAAGCAUGGACGAGGAACAAAAGAUUCGAAAACGUGAAAGAAGAAAAUCGUGUGCCGUCAUCGACUGACAUAACGUUAUUAGCGUAAGCAUUGGAGCUUUAUUUAGAACGAAAGGGACAACGAAGCUACGGUUCGUAUUAGGAAGAGGUUGGAAGAAAUCCACGGAGGCCGUGAUCGAAUUUUGGCUCAUCGUCGAGCGAUGGUUUGUUAACGGCUGUGCCGAGUCGAAAGUACCUAGACUACCGUUCGGCGCCGACCUAUAUUUCGCUUGGAACAAUUGUUGCACAAACGAUACGCGCUCGUAAGCUCGCACGCACCGUGUCUUUCUAGCAGCGUGUACACGCGGCUACACCUAUACACGUACGCUUAUUUAUAGACUAAGAGGAAGGUCAUGAAGAAAGCGCGGCUAGACGAGCGAUUCGUUUCGACAUCGUUUCCGGCGCUGACCCAUUUCGUCCUCGAUUCUUUUCGACAUCGACGCUUCCAGCACUCUGACCCAGUUCCUGCCAGUGCGCGAUAGUCUCUCACGCACUUUUAUUUGUCCCCACGACGACAAUCAGCAUUACGACGAUCUUAUUUAUGUCUCGAACUCGCGUAUAUUUCUGCAUACGAAACGCACUGGCUUGAG